Long non-coding RNA from Mustela lutreola (European mink), 1309 nucleotides. RefSeq lists it as uncharacterized. The transcript is spliced from 3 exons. NCBI's taxonomy places the organism in Eukaryota, Metazoa, Chordata, Mammalia, Carnivora, Mustelidae. The record is from RefSeq and is a predicted model, not a curated record.
AGUUCCGAGAACCCUAAGGACCCCCGACUGGCCUCCAAACGAAAGCCACACCCAGUCCGGCAUCCAGACACCUGGUUGGGAUCAGUCCAGGGACCCGGUCUUACAGGACAGCCUGAACCAAAAGGAGGCAAGGGGUCCUAGAGUGGGAGGGCGCGGCACUACGAAGCCCCCAGAUGCACGGUUCAAGUCUAGUCCUCAGUUAAAGGGCGGGUCAGCUGCCCCCCUUCUCGUCCUCUCCCUGAAAGGGUGAGAAUUAUCUGGCACCCAGCCCCGGGUGCGGUUGCAGAGAGCUCCGGGUAUCUGAGGUUUGGAGGCGACCCCACUGCAAGGAGAUUGUCUGGGGCUGCAAAGGGAAGUCAGCCCCACAGCCGGGCACACUGAAAGGGAGCCCGCAGCCGAAGCAAGGAAGCGCCGGAGUCCUUCAGACACAUCCCCGCCUCCACACUCCCAUCAGCCCGGGCCGAGGGGACGCGGUUCCCAGCCCCGAAUUUGGGCGACCGCCCCCGCUUUCCAACCCGGCGGGCGGCGCUACAGAAGCUCAAAAGCUUGUCUGGCCAGAUGAGAUGGAAAACCAGUGUACUUUGGAGACGUGAAGGAGGCUGAAGGAAAGGAACAAACAUAGGAUGUGAUAAGACCCCACAGCCAAGUUCCUGCAAACCCAGCCAGGAGAUAUCCUGAGUUUAUGCUUUUGGGCCUCAAAGGGGUAUUAUCUGUGUUCUCCCACUAGAUUCUAAAAUCUGUGAGAUCCGUGAGCUCAAGAAAUUUUCCAGCACAAAGCACAUAGGGAGGUUUCCAAGGAAGUCUCAUUCAAUAUUGAAUGAAGAAAUGAAGGAAUGAAGGAAUGAACCUCCACUUUGCAGGGGAGUAAAAAGAGACUCAGAGGGAUGAGGGAAUUUGCCCAGCAGCCACCAGGCAGGAAGUGUGGAAGAACCGGGCUCAAACCUAGGAUGGUCUGACCUCCAGUUCAAGUUUAUAACCAUUUCACCACACCACCUCUGGGAUCCGGGAACAGGUGAUGCUUCCCAGCAGCGAGACUCUAAACCAGCAGGGGUUCCCAGCCGGAGACAUGAUCUAAGUGCCAACGUCUGAAUGUCUGUGAGCAUUUCGAGUCGUUUGGAGAAAAGGCAACGUUAGCGGUACCAUUAUGGCCUGCUGUUCUCCAUGCCAUCACCGCCAUCCCCACCUAUUAAAAUAAUGGUAUGAAAAAUAAACAGCCUUUAUGGACAAUUUUAUACAACCCAUGCAUUGUUUGUUUCUCUCACCGUUACCAUGGCAGUGAUGUUCUCCUGAUAACUUCUGAGUUUCUACA